GAUGAACGCUGGCGGCGUGCCUAAUACAUGCAAGUCGAGCGAAUGGAUUAAGAGCUUGCUCUUAUGAAGUUAGCGGCGGACGGGUGAGUAACACGUGGGUAACCUGCCCAUAAGACUGGGAUAACUCCGGGAAACCGGGGCUAAUACCGGAUAACAUUUUGAACCGCAUGGUUCGAAAUUGAAAGGCGUCUUCGGCUGUCACUUAUGGAUGGACCCGCGUCGCAUUAGCUAGUUGGUGAGGUAACGGCUCACCAAGGCAACGAUGCGUAGCCGACCUGAGAGGGUGAUCGGCCACACUGGGACUGAGACACGGCCCAGACUCCUACGGGAGGCAGCAGUAGGGAAUCUUCCGCAAUGGACGAAAGUCUGAGGGAGCAACGCCGCGUGAGUGAUGAAGGCUUUCGGGUCGUAAAACUCUGUUGUUAGGGAAGAACAAGUGCUAGUUGAAUAAGCUGGCACCUUGACGGUACCUAACCAGAAAGCCACGGCUAACUACGUGCCAGCAGCCGCCGUAA
This 515-nucleotide ribosomal RNA is filed under the name uncultured bacterium. RNAcentral describes it as "partial 16S ribosomal RNA". It matches the Rfam family "Bacterial small subunit ribosomal RNA", at positions 28 to 523 of the family's 1533-position model. The record is from RNAcentral.